This 492-nucleotide ribosomal RNA is filed under the name uncultured bacterium. RNAcentral describes it as "partial 16S ribosomal RNA". It matches the Rfam family "Bacterial small subunit ribosomal RNA", at positions 30 to 507 of the family's 1533-position model. The record is from RNAcentral.
AUUGAACGCUGGCGGUAGGCCUAACACAUGCAAGUCGAACGGCAGCACAGUACGUGCUUGCGCUUACGGGGGCCGAGUGGCGGACGGUUCCUGAAAACAUCGGAGUCUACUUUUUCGUACGGGCUAACGUAGGGACACUUACGCUAUUCCCGCAUACGACCUACGUGGGAAAGCAUCGGACCUUCCGCCCUUGCGCGAUCCUAUGACCCGAGGGCGGAUUAGGUAGGUGGCGGGCUAAAGGGCCACCAAGGCGACGAUGCGUAGCUGGUCUGAGAGGAUGAGCAGGCACAGUGGAAGUGAGAAAAGGUCCAGAGGCCGACGGGAGGCAGCAGGGGGGAAUAUGGGACAAUGGGCGAAAGCCGGAUCCAGCCAUGGCGCGUGUGUGAAGAAGGUCUUCGGAUUGUAAAGCACUUUAAGUUGGGAGGAAGGGCAGUAAGUUAAUACCUUGCUGUUUUGACGUUACCAACAGAAUAAGCACCGGCUAACUUCGUG